CCUACGGGUGGCAGCAGUGAGGAAUAUUGGUCAAUGGGCGAGAUCCUGAACCAGCCAAGCCGCGUGAGGGAAGACGGCCCUAUGAGUUGUAAACCUCUUUUGUCGGAGAGCAAAACCCGGUACGUGUCCCUGACUGCAUGUAUCCUAAGAAAAAGCAUCGGCUAACUCCGUGCCAGCAGCCGCGGUAAUACGGAGGAUUCGAGCGUUAUCCGGAUUUAUUGGGUUUAAAGGGUGCGUAGGCGGUCGGUUAAGUCAGCGGUAAAAUUCCGGGGCUCAACGCUGAAGAGCCGUUGAUACUGGCAGACUAGAGAGUGCGAGCGGUAGGCGGAAUGCGCGGUGUAGCGGUGAAAUGCAUAGAUAUCAUGCAGAACUCCGAUUGCGAAGGCAGCGUAC
Molecule: ribosomal RNA, 393 nt
Filed under: uncultured bacterium
Lineage: Bacteria
Description: partial 16S ribosomal RNA
Rfam family: Bacterial small subunit ribosomal RNA
Source: RNAcentral